GCCCACAGCCAUAUCACCCUGCAACUCACAACUGGCAGCCCACUGAAGCUCAGCAGGUGUGAGCCUGGUCAGUACCUGGAUGGGAGACCUCCUGGGAAAAACUAAGGUUGCUGCUGGAA
Molecule: ribosomal RNA, 119 nt
Organism: Lepisosteus oculatus (spotted gar)
Lineage: Eukaryota; Metazoa; Chordata; Actinopteri; Semionotiformes; Lepisosteidae
Source: Ensembl